UUUGGUUAAGUUAGAAAGGGCGCACGGUGGAUGCCUUGACACUAGGAGUCGAUGAAGGACGGGACUAACGCCGAUAUGCUUCGGGGAGCUGUAAGUAAGCUUUGAUCCGAAGAUUUCCGAAUGGGGAAACCCACCAUACGUAAUGGUAUGGUAUCCUUAUCUGAAUACAUAGGGUAAGGAAGACAGACCCAGGGAACUGAAACAUCUAAGUACCUGGAGGAAGAGAAAGCAAAUGCGAUUUCCUGAGUAGCGGCGAGCGAAACGGAACAUAGCCCAAACCAAGAGGCUUGCCUCUUGGGGUUGUAGGACAUUCUAUACGGAGUUACAAAGGAACGAGGUAGACGAAGCGACCUGGAAAGGUCCGUCGUAGAGGGUAACAACCCCGUAGUCGAAACUUCGUUCUCUCUUGAAUGUAUCCUGAGUACGGCGGAACACGUGAAAUUCCGUCGGAAUCUGGGAGGACCAUCUCCCAAGGCUAAAUACUCCCUAGUGAUCGAUAGUGAACCAGUACCGUGAGGGAAAGGUGAAAAGCACCCCGGAAGGGGAGGAAAGAGAUCCUGAAACCGUGUGCCUACAAAUAGUCAGAGCCCGUUAACGGGUGAUGGCGUGCCUUUGUAGAAUGAACCGGCGAGUUACGAUCCCGUGCGAGGUUAAGCUGAAGAGGCGGAGCCGCAGCGAAAGCGAGUCUGAAUAGGGCGUUUAGUACGUGGUCGUAGACCCGAAACCAGGUGAUCUACCCAUGUCCAGGGUGAAGUUCAGGUAACACUGAAUGGAGGCCCGAACCCACGCACGUUGAAAAGUGCGGGGAUGAGGUGUGGGUAGCGGAGAAAUUCCAAUCGAACCUGGAGAUAGCUGGUUCUCCCCGAAAUAGCUUUAGGGCUAGCCUUAAGUGUAAGAGUCUUGGAGGUAGAGCACUGAUUGGACUAGGGGUCCUCAUCGGAUUACCGAAUUCAGUCAAACUCCGAAUGCCAAUGACUUAUCCUUAGGAGUCAGACUGCGAGUGAUAAGAUCCGUAGUCAAAAGGGAAACAGCCCAGACCGCCAGCUAAGGUCCCAAAGUGUGUAUUAAGUGGAAAAGGAUGUGGAGUUGCUUAGACAACUAGGGAUGUUGGCUUAGAAGCAGCCACCAUUUAAAGAGUGCGUAAUAGCUCACUAGUCGAGUGACUCUGCGCCGAAAAUGUACCGGGGCUAAAUACACCACCGAAGCUGCGGAUUGAUACCAAUGGUAUCAGUGGUAGGGGAGCGUUCUAAGGACAGUGAAGUCAGACCGGAAGGACUGGUGGAGUGCUUAGAAGUGAGAAUGCCGGUAUGAGUAGCGAAAGACGGGUGAGAAUCCCGUCCACCGAAUGCCUAAGGUUUCCUGAGGAAGGCUCGUCCGCUCAGGGUUAGUCAGGACCUAAGCCGAGGCCGACAGGCGUAGGCGAUGGACAACAGGUUGAUAUUCCUGUACCACCUCUUUAUCGUUUGAGCAAUGGAGGGACGCAGAAGGAUAGAAGAAGCGUGCGAUUGGUUGUGCACGUCCAAGCAGUUAGGCUGAUAAGUAGGCAAAUCCGCUUAUCGUGAAGGCUGAGCUGUGAUGGGGAAGCUCCUUAUGGAGCGAAGUCUUUGAUUCCCCGCUGCCAAGAAAAGCUUCUAGCGAGAUAAAGGUGCCUGUACCGCAAACCGACACAGGUAGGCGAGGAGAGAAUCCUAAGGUGUGCGAGAGAACUCUGGUUAAGGAACUCGGCAAAAUGACCCCGUAACUUCGGGAGAAGGGGUGCUUUCUUAACGGAAAGCCGCAGUGAAUAGGCCCAAGCGACUGUUUAGCAAAAACACAGCUCUCUGCGAAGCCGUAAGGCGAAGUAUAGGGGGUGACACCUGCCCGGUGCUGGAAGGUUAAGGAGAGGGGUUAGCGUAAGCGAAGCUCUGAACUGAAGCCCCAGUAAACGGCGGCCGUAACUAUAACGGUCCCUAAGGUAGCGAAAUUCCUUGUCGGGUAAGUUCCGACCCGCACGAAAGGUGUAACGAUUUGGGCACUGUCUCAACCAGAGACUCGGUGAAAUUAUAGUACCUGUGAAGAUGCAGGUUACCCGCGACAGGACGGAAAGACCCCGUGGAGCUUUACUGUAGCCUGAUAUUGAAUUUUGGUACAGUUUGUACAGGAUAGGCGGGAGCCAUUGAAACCGGAGCGCUAGCUUCGGUGGAGGCGCUGGUGGGAUACCGCCCUGACUGUAUUGAAAUUCUAACCUACGGGUCUUAUCGACCCGGGAGACAGUGUCAGGUGGGCAGUUUGACUGGGGCGGUCGCCUCCUAAAGUGUAACGGAGGCGCCCAAAGGUUCCCCUCAGAAUGGUUGGAAAUCAUUCGUAGAGUGCAAAGGCAUAAGGGAGCUUGACUGCGAGACCUACAAGUCGAGCAGGGACGAAAGUCGGGCUUAGUGAUCCGGUGGUUCCGCAUGGAAGGGCCAUCGCUCAACGGAUAAAAGCUACCCCGGGGAUAACAGGCUUAUCUCCCCCAAGAGUCCACAUCGACGGGGAGGUUUGGCACCUCGAUGUCGGCUCAUCGCAUCCUGGGGCUGUAGUCGGUCCCAAGGGUUGGGCUGUUCGCCCAUUAAAGCGGUACGCGAGCUGGGUUCAGAACGUCGUGAGACAGUUCGGUCCCUAUCCGUCGUGGGCGUAGGAAAUUUGAGAGGAGCUGUCCUUAGUACGAGAGGACCGGGAUGGACGCACCGCUGGUGUACCAGUUGUUCUGCCAAGGGCAUAGCUGGGUAGCUAUGUGCGGAAGGGAUAAGUGCUGAAAGCAUCUAAGCAUGAAGCCCCCCUCAAGAUGAGAUUUCCCAUAGCGUAAGCUAGUAAGAUCCCUGAAAGAUGAUCAGGUUGAUAGGUUCGAGGUGGAAGCAUGGUGACAUGUGGAGCUGACGAAUACUAAUAGAUCGAGGACUUAACCAUAUAA
Molecule: ribosomal RNA, 2929 nt
Filed under: Bacillus thuringiensis
Lineage: Bacteria; Bacillati; Bacillota; Bacilli; Caryophanales; Bacillaceae
Description: 23S ribosomal RNA
Rfam family: Bacterial large subunit ribosomal RNA
Source: RNAcentral